Molecule: long non-coding RNA, 445 nt
Organism: Bos taurus (domestic cattle)
Lineage: Eukaryota; Metazoa; Chordata; Mammalia; Artiodactyla; Bovidae
Source: Ensembl
GUGGGCGAGUGGAGGGCGGCCCCUUCCUCUGGCGGCGGCGGCUCUGAGCCGGGCCGCCCCCCGCCCGCCGGCGCUCAGUGAGCUCACCCGCAGCUGGCGGGCGCCCGGCCCGUUGCCACGGCAACGCCUCUCCCAGGGCAGCGCGGACCCUAGAGCGGCUCCGAGAGCUGGCAUGGAGAAGGAAAUCCUUUAUCUGUGUUCUGGGCCGUCGUGACAUUUGGAUGAGGUCGAGCAAGGAAGGAGGCUGUCUUUGGGGCAGACAAAGUGCACAGCCCCACUUUGACACACCCUUGGAAGCCAUCUCCUGCCUGCUGUUCUGGGCUCUCAUUGCAUCCGUGGCCCUUUCUCCCCAACCUGGAGACAGCUGGAUGCGAGCUCCUGCCCGGCCCACCACAACCCCUGGCUGCCUCCCUCUGAGGAAAUAAAACCAAGUCAAGCAUCCCAC